This 508-nucleotide ribosomal RNA is filed under the name uncultured bacterium. RNAcentral's name for it is "partial 16S ribosomal RNA". It matches the Rfam family "Bacterial small subunit ribosomal RNA", at positions 28 to 507 of the family's 1533-position model. The record is from RNAcentral.
GACGAACGCUGGCGGCGUGCCUAAUACAUGCAAGUCGAACGCUUCUUCCCUCCCGAGUGCUUGCACUCAAUUGGAAAGAGGAGUGGCGGACGGGUGAGUAACACGUGGGUAACCUACCCAUCAGAGGGGGAUAACACUUGGAAACAGGUGCUAAUACCGCAUAACAGUUUAUGCCGCAUGGCAUAAGAGUGAAAGGCGCUUUCGGGUGUCGCUGAUGGAUGGACCCGCGGUGCAUUAGCUAGUUGGUGAGGUAACGGCUCACCAAGGCAACGAUGCAUAGCCGACCUGAGAGGGUGAUCGGCCACACUGGGACUGAGACACGGCCCAGACUCCUACGGGAGGCAGCAGUAGGGAAUCUUCGGCAAUGGACGAAAGUCUGACCGAGCAACGCCGCGUGAGUGAAGAAGGUUUUCGGAUCGUAAAACUCUGUUGUUAGAGAAGAACAAGGACGUUAGUAACUGAACGUCCCCUGACGGUAUCUAACCAGAAAGCCACGGCUAACUACGUG